CAGAACGGCACCUUAGCUCAAAGCGCCAAAUUCACUGCGGGAGUCGAAAAAUAGUCGUUCCAGCCGGCUUGAGAACGAUAAUGCUACUCACCGUUAUGUACCUUUUUUUGGUUUGUCAACAUCCGCUGUCAUUCCGAUACGGUAUGAGGAGAGUUGGGUAUUGAGUAACCCACGUGCAUAUGCGCGGGAGUCGGUGAAUGCUUUGUGAAACGUGCGGUGCGGGGCUCUAACCUAACUCGUUUAGUAUGAACAAUGCCGUGAACCAUGACUGCCAUACCAUUGUGAAUGACCCUGAAAAAGGCAGUCACGUCAACGUGGGCUACAUGACCUGUCAUCCUUUGUGAAAGGCCUCAGCGGACCUCGAGGUGCCAAGCCUUACGAACAAGGUUGACCCUAGGCAAGCCCCGCUACCAACCACCGCGCCCCGAACGAAGGUUGUCUGCGGCCAAGAAAGGUAUGUGUCGCAGAUAUGGGGAAAGUGCCACAACUCGCCACUGGUAAGUUCAUCGAUGUGUCGCGAGACAGAGGUUGUGGUAGAAAAGGCGCACGCUGCUCAAAUGACACCUCAAGAUCGCGCAUGCGUCAAGCCAGCCGGUGCUCAUGUCGCAGCGGAGACGCGUGCUACUGAAAUGUAAAAAAUGAGGAGGAGUAUACGCCGCAUUAAAAAAAAAAAAAGAGGGGGGGGGGGGGCUUCCUGUACCCUUUGUGAAUCUUCUAAGAUUUGAACCUUUAUGUGUCUUGUCAUACCUUCGCAUAGUGUUGGCUCUGUGAACUGUAAACAGUUGGUGACGCUUGCGUCGAGCAGCGCAAGGCUUGAAACAGCAAAACUGGACGAUUCGAAAGAGCAAUCUGGUUGUUUCUAGGCCUAAGCUAGGUGAUGCUGACUCAGGAGGGAUAUUCGGAGCAUGCCAAUCUUUUAAGAGACUUUUUGACAACAUAGCUAGCUAUGAAAUGCACUAACCUACUGUUGCUGUGCCUAUUGAUAUAGUUGUCAUGAUCAGACUGUUUUCUUUGUGUGUCUAACAGAUACAACACAUUACAAGUUAUCAUAUACAUGGGUUGCAUGUGAUGUCAUUUCCAGCUGGCUAAGUGAGCGAUGUCAGGGGUUGAUGCAUACGAUGACACGACUGAUUGAACGACAAACAACUGGUUUAUUAACGAUUCGAAGAGAUUACAUAACUGAUGCCUUGUGAACCGCUUCGCGCUCGCCCCAAUCGUCCCCCUCAAUCUUGAAGCCAACGUGGUGGUUUUCUCAGUCUGCAGCGGUCAUCAGUAGCUAACGGUGCUUGAGUGGAUUGCGCGGAGUCAUCGUGCAGUGGUGGAGUUGUCUUGUGUUUUCUCAUAAAAGCGCUUUAACUGCGUUGCGCUGGACAUUUUUUUGGAGUAUUUGAUGCUUUCGCACUUUAGGAGGUGGACCGUGCUCAGUUCUGUCACGAAAUUUGACAGAGACGGUUGUGUGUCCGAGUCACUGCUUGUUGAUAUACGCACAUUCUUUUCCAGUUUCUGUAUGAACUCAAUAGUGUGAAUGCCGUGAUCGUAGUGUUCAAUAUAGUCAAACGAAAUGGCCUGUCUCCCGUCAAGGCCUACCAUGACUUUGUAUGGAAGGUUCUUGAUCACUUUAGCUUCUACUGUAGCACAGUUAUCACCAAUGGUGAUCCUCGCUUGAGUCACUCCGGUUGGCUUGCACGAGUUGCCAAAUG
This 1700-nucleotide long non-coding RNA is filed under the name Rhipicephalus microplus (southern cattle tick). Its description in RNAcentral is "uncharacterized LOC119182971". Lineage: Eukaryota; Metazoa; Arthropoda; Arachnida; Ixodida; Ixodidae. The record is from RNAcentral.